GGACUACCAGGGUUUCUAAUCCUGUUUGCUCCCCAUGCUUUCGCGUCUCAGCGUCAAUCACCGUCCAGAUGGCCGCCUUCGCCACCGGUGUUCCUCCCCAUAUCUACGAAUUUCACCUCUACUUGGGGAAUUCCGCCAUCCUCUCCGGCAUUCGAGCUCGGCAGUUUCGGGCGCACUUCCUCAGUUAAGCUGAGGGAUUUCACACCCGACUUGCAAAGCCGCCUACACGCGCUUUACGCCCAAUAAUUCCGAACAACGCUUGCACCCUCUGUAUUACCGCGGCUGCUGGCAC
Molecule: ribosomal RNA, 292 nt
Filed under: uncultured bacterium
Lineage: Bacteria
Description: partial 16S ribosomal RNA
Source: RNAcentral